Molecule: long non-coding RNA, 2444 nt
Filed under: Salmo trutta (river trout)
Lineage: Eukaryota; Metazoa; Chordata; Actinopteri; Salmoniformes; Salmonidae
Description: lncRNA (ENSSTUG00000008423.1)
Source: RNAcentral
AUCCAGAGCUUUGAUGAGGGCAGUAUUUCUGGGAGCUACAUGGGAGCAUCCGACACCACAGCAGUGUGUGUGAUGAGGACUAACAGCUGCCAGUCUGACAGCAGCGGCUUCCUGGAAGAGCCCUUCAUCCCUUCCAUUACCCAGCAUCCCUCACCUGGACCCGAGCUCAUGAAGGUUACACGGAUAACAUUCUAGAAGUGCAACAAUCUAGGCGUGUUACUUUAAGUUAUUGCUACUAACUUAUAUACUUCACCAGCCCAAAUUAUUAAAAUAUAUUAUUGAAUUGAUAUUCUGUCUAUUUCAUGGUGCACAAUUUAAGAGGUCAUUCAUUAAUUUAAACUGACAGUGUUUGGUUGUUGUUUAAAGGCUUUGUCGGGAAUAUCUGGAGGCAGCACUGACAGCCAGAUCACUGUAAAAGGAGCUUCACCCCCCUCGUCCCCCCCAUCCACUUCCCUGGACCCUUCCCCUCCUUCCCUCUCCAUGUGCCACCCAAGACCCGAGUCUCCUCUAUACAGACCAGAGACAACAAGCCCUACAGAGGAGACACCCAGACACCAGGAUUCCCCCACACCCCACUCCCUCCUCUCUGAUGCCUUGGAGAUGACUAACUCUGCUUUUGGAGCCAGGCCAAGCCUAAUGGAAAACACUGUCACUGAGGAAGAUGGAUUCUCUUCGGCCUGCGGUUCACCUUGUCAUAAGCCAGACUCUCCGUUACGGCACGUUAUUAUUAUCAUGAAAACAGAUAGAGAAACAGAACACUUUACUGUGGAAUCAGAGGAAGCUGUUCCAAUAGGAGGAGAGGAAAAGGACAUAGCGGAACAAAGUGGCAAUGUUCAGACAGGAACAGAGGCUGUUGGUGAUCAGGACACCGAUUGUUAUGGGUCACAUGAAGGCUCUCGGAUGAACUCGGUAGCUCUAGUGCAGAUGAAGAAAGAGACGGAGAUGAAGACGAAAGUACAGAUUAGUUCUGGUUUGGAAGGUCCAGUGUUGGGUCCUGUUGCUGUUCCUGAGGUGGUGAAUCAAGGCUCUGAGACUGGAUUUGUUUGUCAGGACCGGUACUCUGAAGAUCCUCUAUUAGGAUCUGACCCUAACUUCUCAGCAGUGCUAAGCCCUGCCUCCUCUCUCCCCCCAGCAGAGCCUCUCCCUGCCUCCUCUCUCCCCCCAGCAGAGCCUCUCUCUGCCUCCCCACCCCCAGUGCACUGGGAAACAGGUGGCUCAAAGAUUUCAGAGGGAUCCUCAAGCUUGGUUGUCCAAGAGCCUGUCCCACCACUAUAUCAACCAGCAGACCCAUCAACAGACCCACCUCCAGGCCCAGCUUUAACCUCACCUUCAGAGCAAGUGUCAUCUCCAUCCCCACCACCAUCUCUAUCCCCAGCCUCAUGGCCACACCAACCUCCAGCCUCAGCUUUUCCGGCAGCAUCCAGCUCAUCUCCAACCCAAGCCCAUUCCCCAAUCCCAAACCAUUCUCUAUCAGCCCUAACCACAACACCAACCCCAUCCUCAAUUCCAAACUCACCAUCAGCCCAUUCCUUAACCGUAGCUCCAUCUCAAGCCCCAACUCCACUCGUCCCCCACAGUGGUGCUUUCAGGUCAGGCCGGUCUGUGUCUGUCCAGAUGCCCUCCUCCCUGCCCUCUGUCUCCCACUCUGCCCUCCGGAGAGGUGGCGUCCCCCACACCCCCUCCCCGCUCGGCCCUUCCUUCGAGCCCCGCCCCCUGACUGACCUGGUGCUUCGGCAGAGGCGGAACUCCUUCUCCAGGAAGGCGUGGUCAGAUGCUGAUGUCUCCCACUUUGCAGAACACAGAAACACUGCGGUUGCCAUGGGAAAAGCAGUCAUGACACCUGAGAUGAUAUCCCUCCCGUCCCCCGUCCCCUCCCCCUCCCUGUCAUCGUCCAAUCGGUGGCUGUCUCGCGACGGUUCACGAAGAUCCGGAAGUUUCCAGAUGAAGUCCACCUCCUUGGACACGGGGCUGUGGCAGGAGGAUGAAGAAGUGGGGGAUGAGGAUAGACGGUGGGAACGAGCACUGUUCUCUGGGCUUUCCUGCUGCUGCUCCUGUGAUAACCGCUGUAGCUGCUGUUCUCAGAACAAUCACCUCAAACCAUUCUCCGUUUCAGCUUUCCCUUAUUCCCUGGAUGAGCUGGAGGGGAUGAUGCACUGUAUGAGGAAGUUCCGCUGCGUCCUGACAGACAUCGAGGAACAGCUGUCAGAAGACCAGGCCUCGGUGUACAGCUCACUCUCUGACACUGACAGAGAGGAAGUGCGAGACAUCUUGGAGCUGAGGAAAGCUGUGAAACAGGAAGCAGGAGAGUUGGAACUGCAGCUCACUGACCUGGUUCAUCGCUAUGACGACAGCUUCAAAAUGGUAGGUUACACAGACACACCCUUGACUGUGGAUUAUAUUAAUGAGAAAUGAAAACAUUAGCUAUGUUUUUCUACUUUGCCUCA